This 482-nucleotide ribosomal RNA is filed under the name uncultured bacterium. Its description in RNAcentral is "partial 16S ribosomal RNA". It matches the Rfam family "Bacterial small subunit ribosomal RNA", at positions 30 to 507 of the family's 1533-position model. The record is from RNAcentral.
AUUGAACGCUGGCGGCAUGCUUUACACAUGCAAGUCGAACGGUAACAGGCCGCAAGGUGCUGACGAGUGGCGAACGGGUGAGUAAUGCAUCGGAACGUGCCCAGUCGUGGGGGAUAACUACUCGAAAGAGUAGCUAAUACCGCAUACGAUCUAUGGAUGAAAGCGGGGGACCGUAAGGCCUCGCGCGAUUGGAGCGGCCGAUGUCAGAUUAGGUAGUUGGUGGGGUAAAGGCACACCAAGCCAACGAUCUGUAGCUGGUCUGAGAGGACGACCAGCCACACUGGGAGUGAGACACGGCCCAGACUCCUGCGGGAGGCAGCAGUGGGGAAUUUUUGACAAUGGGCGCAAGCCUGAUCCAGCAAUGCCGCGUGCAGGAAGAAGGCCUUCGGGUUGUAAACUGUUUUUGUACGGAACGAAACGGCUCUGGUUAAUACCCGGGGCUAAUGACGGUACCGUAAGAAUAAGCACCGGCUAACUACGUG